This 216-nucleotide ribosomal RNA is filed under the name Glomeromycotina sp. RNAcentral describes it as "partial small subunit ribosomal RNA". The stretch from base 40 to 216 matches the Rfam family "Eukaryotic small subunit ribosomal RNA", at positions 686 to 864 of the family's 1831-position model. The record is from RNAcentral. Lineage: Eukaryota; Fungi; Glomeromycota.
GGGUCAGUAGGUUGGUAGUGCCACCGGUACGUACUGGUCUCACUGAUUCCUCCUUCCUGAAGAACCUUAAUGCCAUUAAUUUGGUGUUGCGGGGAAACAGGACUGUUACUUUGAAAAAAUUAGAGUGUUUAAAGCAAGCAAACGCUUGAAUACAUUAGCAUGGAAUAAUGAAAUAGGACGAUCGAUCCUAUUUUGUUGGUUUCUAGGAUUGACGUA